RNAcentral lists this transfer RNA (72 nucleotides) under Planktothricoides sp. SR001. It matches the Rfam family "tRNA". From Rfam's summary of the family: Transfer RNA (tRNA) molecules are approximately 80 nucleotides in length. Their secondary structure includes four short double-helical elements and three loops (D, anti-codon, and T loops). Further hydrogen bonds mediate the characteristic L-shaped molecular structure. tRNAs have two regions of fundamental functional importance: the anti-codon, which is responsible for specific mRNA codon recognition, and the 3' end, to which the tRNAs corresponding amino acid is attached (by aminoacyl-tRNA synthetases). tRNAs cope with the degeneracy of the genetic code in two manners: having more than one tRNA (with a specific anti-codon) for a particular amino acid; and 'wobble' base-pairing, i.e. permitting non-standard base-pairing at the 3rd anti-codon position. RNAcentral also lists the same sequence under 4 other names. The record is from Rfam by way of RNAcentral. Lineage: Bacteria; Bacillati; Cyanobacteriota; Cyanophyceae; Oscillatoriales; Oscillatoriaceae.
GGCCCCAUCGUCUAGUGGUGAGGAUUUCUGACUUUCGAUCAGAAAACACGGGUUCAAAUCCCGUUGGGGCUA